UGAGGAAUAUUGGUCAAUGGACGUAAGUCUGAACCAGCCAAGUAGCGUGCAGGAUUGACGGCCCUAUGGGUUGUAAACUGCUUUUGUUGGGGAGUAAAGUGGGGCACGCGUGCCUUUUUGCAUUUACCCUUCGAAUAAGGACCGGCUAAUUCCGUGCCAGCAGCCGCGGUAAUACGGAAGGUCCAGGCGUUAUCCGGAUUUAUUGGGUUUAAAGGGAGUGUAGGCGGUCUGUUAAGCGUGUUGUGAAAUUUAGGUGCUCAACAUCUACCUUGCAGCGCGAACUGGCGGACUUGAGUGCACGCAACGUAUGCGGAAUUCAUGGUGUAGCGGUGAAAUGCUUAGAUAUCAUGACGAACUCCGAUUGCGAAGGCAGCGUACGGGAGUGUUACUGACGCUUAAGCUCGAAGGUGCGGGUAUCGAACAGGAUUAGAUACCCUGGUAGUCCGCACGGUAAACGAUGGAUGCCCGCUGUUAGCGCCUGGCGUUAGCGGCUAAGCGAAAGCAUUAAGCAUCCCACCUGGGGAGUACGCCGGCAACGGU
RNAcentral lists this ribosomal RNA (540 nucleotides) under uncultured bacterium. RNAcentral's name for it is "bacterial SSU rRNA". It matches the Rfam family "Bacterial small subunit ribosomal RNA", at positions 355 to 895 of the family's 1533-position model. The record is from RNAcentral.